RNAcentral lists this signal recognition particle RNA (297 nucleotides) under Cebus imitator (Panamanian white-faced capuchin). RNAcentral's name for it is "Metazoan signal recognition particle RNA (ENSCCAG00000010901.1)". It matches the Rfam family "Metazoan signal recognition particle RNA". From Rfam's summary of the family: The signal recognition particle (SRP) is a universally conserved ribonucleoprotein. It is involved in the co-translational targeting of proteins to membranes. Lineage: Eukaryota; Metazoa; Chordata; Mammalia; Primates; Cebidae. The record is from RNAcentral.
GCUGAGCGCGGUGGCAUGCCUGUAGUCCCAGCUACUCCGGAGGCUGAGGUGGGAGGAUCGCUUGAGCCCAGGAGUUCUGGGCUGUAGUGCGCUAUGCUGAUUGGGUGUCCGCACUAAGUUCGGCAUCAAUAUGGUGACCUCCCGGGAGCAGGGGACCACCAGGUUGCCUAAGGAGGCGUGAACCAGCCCAGGUCGGAAAUGGAGCAGGUCAAAGCUCCCGUGCUGAUCAGUAGUGGGAUCGAGCCUGUGAAUAGCCACUGCACUCCAGCCUGGGCAACAUAGUGAGACCCCAUCUCU